GAAGAUCUUGCCCUUUGUGUUGUUUCGUUCUAGUUGAUCAGUAGUGGAGCCCAGUUGGGGUCGAUCGGGGGCCUUUGUCGCAUUUGGGGUUCUUCUUUUAUUUUGGUUCCGUAGUCGGACCUUGAUUGUAUCUGGAUGAUGUAAUGCUUUAUUCAUGUAAUUGGGUGAAGUGGCGAUUGUAAGCCAACUAUGUAUCUCUUUCCCUUAUGUAUUACAUGGGUUGUGUGAACAUUACCUCACUUGCGACAUUGCUUUCAAUGCGGUUAUGCCUCUAAGUCGUGCUUCGACACGUGGGAGAUAUAGCCGCAUCGAGGGCGUUACAAGUUGGUAAUCAGAGCCUUCCCCGACCUUAGGAGCCCCACUGCUUGAUCGUUUUUAGCGGCCGAGUUGUGUCUAGAAAAAUAUUUUGAGUCAUUUAGGAUUAUAUAUAUCGGAGAGUUAGGAAUUCUUUUUACUCCCCAGUCUCUUCAUCGCUCUGGUAAGGCAUCCUGACGUAGAGUUUUGACUAUUCUCUUCUCAAAUUUCACUAAAUUUUUUUUAGGAUCACGCGGGUAUCUUGGAAUCGUUCCGAUGGUUUUAUGAUGAGAACAUUGUCUUGGUGCCUCCUGUCAGGGUUUUAGUGGAAGUGUCCCGGGGAGUUGAGCUCUGAGGUGUUGUCAUCAUAAUUUUAUCGUUGCAAUUCUGGAAUACCUGAGUUUAGUACGCCGACAUCGAAAAUCUCUUUUAUGCAGUUCGUUGGUGAGAUAACCUCGACGUCACCCAGUACUGGGGCGGGAGUUCGGGAGUAUCGCCAUAACUUGUAUAACGGAUGAUUUUCGAAGGUUGAGGUAGAUGAUUUCCGAAGGUUUCUUGGUUAUGUGUUGAAGGAUGGAUACAGCUGGAUGUAGGAUUUGCUAGUUUGGGUGAGAUAUUAUGCUUCCCCUGUAUCCCCAACACCUGAUUGCAUAACCGGAAAAUUUCGGGAGUUUCAUAGGUGGGAAUUCAAGUAGCUCUUAGGAUAUCUUUCCGACGGAUGUAUGAUAUGAAAUUGGGGUUCGACGUCUAGUGGUCCGCCUAUUCACGGCCGAUUUUACAGUGGUCUCGUUGUGUCUUAAAGAGUCCUUGGCUAUGCCGACUCGGGAACGCUUCGUAUGUCAUGUGCACUGCCUUGUACAUGAUGGUGCUGUACGAUCGAGCCCGUGUAGGCCCCACCACGAAAACUUCGGACGAAAUCUCUACCGUAUGUUUGUUCCGGCUUAUUCUGCAAGCCAACCCUUUGUUUUUGUUUUGAGUUGUGGUAUUCGAGUUGCUUCGAAGUCAAAUGUUGAUUCCAUACCUUUUUCCUAAGCGGUAUUCUCAUACUCCUAUGCGAAUACUUAUCCUUCUUGAUAAUCGAGUUGUCAUUUCAAUUUCUUCUCAACCGGUGUACUUCUCUUCAAGUGGAUCCGAUCAUUUCAACAACCGCAAGAUCAAGUAUCAGUUCUUCUUAACGGUGUUUGUUUCAUCCGUCUCCAAAUUGUCUUUGUUUUUCCCACCCUCCCUCCCUUUGUUUUUCUCCAAGGAUUCAGAUCUCUUAAUCGAGUAUCCAUAUUAUUGAUGUGAAGUCGCUCCAUUCUUUUCUAUCAAUAUUCUUAUCCGGUGAUUAUCAGGAAGAUUCUAACGGAGCUUCAAGUUCGUCAACCUUCACUCAUUUUUCUUCUCCGGUGGUUUAAAUUCAAGCGUUAUUGAUCAUAUCUUCUCCUCGUUUUCAAAUACCUUCUCAUAACGGUUCACCUAAUAAUCUUUCACCGCUCGUUAUUCUAUUGUUCCGGAGUGCCCAAGAUAUCUCGAAGAUUCGUGUUUCCACUCUACAUUCAUUCAAACUAUUUCGAGGUUGUUUAUCUCAUUCAAGCCAUUAAAUUCAACCGGUGCAAUCUCCUUUCUCAAGUAAUCGUUCAACGGUGUUCCUUUUGAGUGGGUCCUAACCCACAGGUCUUUUCCCAGGAUCUUACCUGACUCUUCUAAUUCUCCCGGAGAUAUCCUUAAAAUUCUUUUCGAAGUUUGACGUAAGAAAGAGUUAUCAUCAGUCAAAUGCCAUCUCCUAGGUCUUUCACAAUUAUUUUCAUCGUUGGCUCAACCUCUUCGUUUUGAUUCUUCCGGAGUGUCUAAAUAAUUCAUGGUGGUGUUCUCGUCGUCAUUCUCGGAUUUUGAAGACCGAAGAAGAGUUUCUCCUUAAUCUUGCUUCAUUCUCUUCAAGAUUCGUGAUUCUAGCUCGUUGCCAUCCUCUCAUAAUUGUUUCGAUCGUGAGUAUUCUUUUCACCCUUCCGGAGCAAUUUAAGAGUCGUCUCAGUUUGUUAUCCGGAGUCCAUCAAGUCAGGUUUAUUCAUUCUCAUCUUUCAGCUAUCAUUCUCCAAUUUUACCGGUGCUUCAUUCAAGUGAUCUUUAAUCGGCUCGUGAUCUCUUCGUUCUCAUGUAUCUAAAUUCUCUCAAGCAUUUUCGUCCAUUUGCUAAUUCUUCCCGGUGUUUCUUUAUCUUCUCUUCGUUCAUUUUCAAUUCUUACGGUGGUUCGUUCAACAUUUCUCUUCCUUAUCAAUUUAUUCAUUGUUUCUAUUCUACCGGUGGGUUGUUCAAGAUCUUCUCAAGUUAUCGAUAUCUAUUUUAAUCCUGUCUACGAGAAUAAGUAGUGUGCCAAAUCCGUUUUUUUGUCAUCAAUUUAAUUGGUGAAGGUUAAACAUAACGUAAUUCUUAUUCUUGCUUCAUCCAACUGUCUAAUUUCCUAUUCCGGAGGUUCAUCAAAUUCUUGUUUCCAUUUGUUCAUCUUUCUUUACCGGAGUGCCAAGUUUUCUCUUUAUCUCGUUGCUAAGCGUCAUCCAAAUCAUUGCAAGGAUUCACCUUGUGUUUUCAAUUUCUCUUUCUUUUCAUUCCUUUUGUUUACUAGAGUUCUUCAUGGAUGUUCUACAGGACGAUUCAUCGAGGAUUUAAUUCCUUCUCAAAGUUUUCAUCAAGAUUCAUUUCUAGGGAGCUCAAGCUUUCUUCAUAUUGUAAUCCGGAGUGCAAUUCUUUCUUCCAUAUCAUUGGAGAUGGUAUUAUGUCAUCCUUGAUAAUUUGAAUUCAUGUUUCUUGAUUCACAUGUUGUCAUGAAUGAGAUAUUUCAAAUCCAUCAAUCUCGUCUUUGGAGUUAUCUUGGGUUAUAUUUCACCUUAAGCCCUCCCUAAGGAUGGUUGUUAUUAUGGUGCUUAUAAAUGACCCAAGUUCUUCUUUUAUCCUCCCGGUGAAAUACUUUCUCGUCUCCUUGUUCUUAUCAAUCCAAUUCUUUUUCCCGUGAGUGGCAGGUUGUCACCUCAUAAGCUGAGAUGCAUUUCACAAGACCAUAUCAAGCUUAUUCUUUUCGUUGUUGGUGUUCCAACUACUCCGUUCGACCCUUUUCCUAAAGAUGCCUUUUCAAGCUCUUUUGUGGCAUAAGAUGGCAUUUUCUUCUCCAUUCCUUUAUUUCAAUUAUCUAUCUUCUAUUCUUUUGUUCCGGAGCCAUUGUAAUGUUGCUCUUCUCUCUCAUCAUCUUGGAUCGUGCUCUUCUCUUGCUUAUCCAUUUAACCGGAGUGUUGUGCGUUUUUUGCUCAAGUUCUUUUCGCCUUAUCAAGUCUUGUAUAUCUUUUCAACCGGAGUGCUGUCCAAAUUUGUUCUUCCUUGUUUCUCUUUUCUAACGGAGUGUUUUCAACUUCGUCCAUCUUUGUUGUUUUCUUCUUUAAAUUAGUUCAACCUCGCAAGGUUCUUUGGUUUCACUCGUUUGUCAAAGAAGCAACUUAGUUUUCCCCUUCUCUUUCUCCUCUGUUUUUCCCUCCGGUGCCAUUCUAGAUCUCGGGACGAGAUCCUCUCGUAGUGGUGGAGUGUUGUAACGCCCCGAGACCGUUGUGCCAGGUGUCGUUCAGUUAUUCGCUGAUGUUGCCAGGUCAUUUGCUUGUGUGUUGCAUUUCAUCAUGUCAUCAUGUGCAUUGCAUCAUGUCAUCAUGCAACCCGUUUUAAAACUCAACUAAACAAAUGGUAUGGAUCUUUGAUCCAUUUAAAUCGAGGGAAUUCACAUGGCGAUUCUCUUUACAACUUAUCCUCUCGAUAUUUAGAGAGCUAUAGUAAUUAUUCCAAUUAUGUGGAAUUACCUUAACACACUUGCAAAAAUCCCAAAGCCUUUUAUUAUUUCAACUCUUGGCCUCUAACUUUGCCAUAUGUCAUUUCAUCAUUUUCCGGAUUCGUUGCCGUGGCACCCCUUUUCUUUCCACCACGGUGGCAAAUGCUACAUAAUAUGCUCUUAUCAACAUUUUCUUAAAAACUUGCAUAAACUUGUUCAUGUCAUCCACAUCAUGAUAACAACAAUUAAAAUGUUUAAAUUGUUGUUGCAUUAAAUUACUAAUGCAUAUGGGGAGUUAUCGGAUUUGUUGUUUAUUAUAUCCGGCCCCAUUUAAAUUGUUUAGAUGGUAUAGUUUUGUUAUGUUUCACCUCUUGCCAUGUUAACCAACAUUUAACUUUGUUGAGUACCUAACCGAGAGUGAACUAAAUAAUUGAUGUGGUGUUCCGUCAAUAUGCAACUCGUUGCAUAUUGAUCUCCACUUAAUUUGUAGAACUGCUUGUGCACUUUGCCAUGCCAUGCUUCAUUAAACCGGACAUGCAUCAUACUCGAUUGUGCAUCGUGCCAUGUUGUUGUGGUGGUUGUUUACUAUGCUGUGUGCUUCUUUUCCGGUGUUUGCUUCUUCGGGUUGGUUCCGAUAACGUCGAGGUUGUGAGGAUCCAUUCGUCUACGUCCAUUUGUCUUCUUCAUGGACUCGUUCUUCUUCCUUGCGGGAUUUCAGGCAAGAUGAUCAUACCCUCGAAAUCACUACUAUCUUUGCUAUGCUAGUUUGCUCGCUCUUUUGCCAUGCCAAUGCUACGAUGCCUACCACUUGCUUGUCAGCCACCCAAAUUGCCAUGUCAAACCUCUAACCCACCAUGUCCUAGCAAACCGUUGAUUGGCUAUGUUACCGCUUUGCUCAGCCCCUCUUAUAGUGUUGUUAGUUGCAGGUGAAGAUUGCAGUUUGUUCCUUGUUGGAACAUGGAGAUGUUGUUUCUUGUUGGAACAUGUUACUUGUUGGGAUAUCACAAUAUAUCUUAUUUAAUUAAUGCAUCUAUAUACUGGUAAAGGGUGGAAGGCUUGGCCUUAUGCCUGGUGUUUUGUUCCACUCUUGCCGCCCUAGUUUCCGUCAUAUCGGUGUUAUGUUCCCGGAUUUUGCGUCCCUUACGCGGUUGGGCUAUAAUGGGAACCCCUUGACAGUUCGCCUUAAGUAAAGCUUUUCCAGCAAUGCCCAACAUUGGUUUUACCAUUUGCCACCUAGCCUUUUUCCCUUGGGAGUCGCGCAUCCCGAGGGUCAUCUUUAUUUUAACCCCCCCGGGCCAGUGCUUGUCUAAGUGUUGGUCCGAACUAGAGUCCUUUGCAGCGCCACCUCAGGGAAACUUGAGGGCUGGUUUUAGUUGUACGGAGCGCUCAUCCGGUGUUGCCCUGAGAACGAGAUAUGUGCAGCUCCUAUCAGGAUGUCGGCGCAUCGGGCGGUAUUGCUGGUUUAGUUUUACCCUGUCGAAAUGUCUUGUUGUACCGGGAUACCGAGUCUGAUCGGAAUGUCUCGGGUGGAGGUCUAUUCCUUCGUUGACCGUGAGAGCUUGUGAUGGGCUAAGUUGGGACACCCCUGCAGGGAUUUGAACUUUCGAAAGCCGUGCCCGCGGUUAUGGGUAGAUGGGAAUUUGUUAACGUCCGGUUGUAGAAAACCCGAAGUUGACCUUAAUUAAAAUACAUCAACCGUGUGUGUAACCGUGAUGGUCUCUUUCCGGCGGAGUCCGGGAAGUGAACACGGUGUUGGAGUUAUGCUUGACGUAGGUAGUCCAGGAUCACUUCUUGAUCAUACCUUUAUCGACCGUGCUUUGCCUUCUCUUCUCGCUCUCAUUUGCGUAUGUUAGCCACCAUAUAUGCUAGUCGCUUGCUGCAGCUCCACCUUAUUACCCCAGCCUUCCUAUAAGCUUAAAUAGUCUUGAUCUCGCGGGUGCGAGAUUGCUGAGUCCCUGUGGCUCACAGAUACUUCCAAAACCAGUUUGCAGGUGCUGAUGAGUUUGUGCAGUUGACGCAACCAAGCUCAGGAGGAGCUCGAUGAAGAUCUUGCCCUUUGUGUUGUUUCGUUCUAGUUGAUCAGUAGUGGAGCCCAGUUGGGGUCGAUCGGGGGCCUUUGUCGCAUUUGGGGUUCUUCUUUUAUUUUGGUUCCGUAGUCGGACCUUGAUUGUAUCUGGAUGAUGUAAUGCUUUAUUCAUGUAAUUGGGUGAAGUGGCGAUUGUAAGCCAACUAUGUAUCUCUUUCCCUUAUGUAUUACAUGGGUUGUGUGAAGAUUACCUCACUUGCAACAUUGC
This 6372-nucleotide long non-coding RNA is filed under the name Triticum aestivum (bread wheat). RNAcentral describes it as "long non-coding RNA (TAES_LNC009961)". The record is from RNAcentral. Lineage: Eukaryota; Viridiplantae; Streptophyta; Magnoliopsida; Poales; Poaceae.